This 28-nucleotide non-coding RNA is filed under the name Rattus norvegicus (Norway rat). The record is from RNAcentral. Lineage: Eukaryota; Metazoa; Chordata; Mammalia; Rodentia; Muridae.
UCCCCAAGUCUCCUGAAGGUUUAAUGGU